GGGUGAAUGGGAAGGGAAGGGGGUCAGGGAAGGCCUCCUUAAGGAAGCUGCCCGUUAAAUGAAGCCCCAAAUGCUGAGCAGGAAGCGGCCAGAUGAACAGAAUAGGGGAGGGUUGUCUAUGGCCAUACCACCCUGAGCGCACCCCAUCUCCUCUGAUCUCGGAAGCUCAGCAGGGUCGGGCCUGUAGAGACGGGGUUUCACCAUGUUGGCCAGGCUGGUCUCGAAUUCCUGACUUCAAGUGAUCUGCCUGCCUCAACAUCCAAAAUUGCUGGGAUUACAGGAGUGAGCCACCACGUCCGGUCCUGCCAUCAUUCUUAACAAGAGCGCCCCCACCAUCGUCCAGGGAGAGAUGGAAUAUCCAGAGAAGAACAGAGCUCACAGAAGCAGGUCCUUCAGGAGGCAUCCAGAAGAAGGUGUUAUCGCAGAUGACAGUCCAUGCCUGCCAUUGCCCCUGAAGGCCUCCCAGGGGGCCAAGAUGUGGAGGCGGAAGACACUCUACCCUGAGUAGGCCUAGGCUAAUAGUAAAUUAAACAACUGAAGGAAGGUCCCUGUGAGCUGCAGUCCUGGGAGAAGAGGAAACCCUUCAACAUGGAUUCUGGAAAGAACAGCCUUGGCUUUCUUCUGAACAAAAAGUUCUGGCCCAGCUGGACCCGGGGUGGGCACCGGGAGUGCAGGCUGAUAGUCCUCUCCUGCCAGCUUUGCGAGGCGUGGGGAGCACCUGCAGCAUGGCUCACCUGAACCCAGUCCCCAGGCCCAUGGCCUCCGAGAGAUGAACACUGGCUGCCCAGAAGCAGGUGUGGGUAGGAGGGCAGAGGGACUGCCCGCAGACGUCCCUGGGCUCCCUGGCUCCUUUCUGCUGAUGUGCCGCCUCAGUCGGACAGAGGUUUCAACACACUUGUACCCUUCCCAACACAGGCCAGGUGUCUCCGGGGCCUGGAAGAAAACCAAGGUCAGGGGAUCUCCUAGUUCAACAAGGGAGAACAACAUGUAAGGAAGAUAAGAAUUAAAGCCGUGUCGGAUGUGAG
Molecule: long non-coding RNA, 1025 nt
Organism: Pan troglodytes (chimpanzee)
Lineage: Eukaryota; Metazoa; Chordata; Mammalia; Primates; Hominidae
Exons: 4
Source: RefSeq, a predicted model, not a curated record